CAAUAGCGUAUAUUAAAGUUGUUGCGGUAAAAAAGCUCGUAGUUGGAUUUCUACCGAAGGUAGCCGGUCGGGUCUUCGACCUUGUAUCUGGUUUUGUCUUUGGUAUCCUCAUAGGGAACGUUUCUGCGCUUUAUUGCGUGGUGCGGUAUCUAUGACUUCUACUUUGAGGAAAUUAGAGUGUUCACAGCAGGCAAACGCCUUGAAUAUAUUAGCAUGGAAUAAUAACAUAGGAUCUUCGUCCUAUUUUGUUGGUUUCUAGGGCUAAGAUAAUGAUUAAUAGGGAUAAUUGGGGGCAUCUGUAUCAACGCGUCAGAGGUGGAAUUCUUGGAUUGCGUUGCGACAAACUACUGCGAAAGCAUCUGCCAAGGAUGUUUUCAUUGA
RNAcentral lists this ribosomal RNA (381 nucleotides) under uncultured eukaryote. Its description in RNAcentral is "partial 18S ribosomal RNA". It matches the Rfam family "Eukaryotic small subunit ribosomal RNA", at positions 592 to 976 of the family's 1831-position model. The record is from RNAcentral.